CUUUUGCUAGGGUCCGUGCUACUGACCCUGAUGUUGGUGUAAAUGGUGAAAUAAGGUACUCAUUGGAAGAUGGGAAUGUACCUUUUUCCAUUGAUGAGUCUGGAGUUAUUUUUACCACUGGUGUUUUAGACAGGGAAGUUGUAGAUAGCUACAGGUUAACUGUGAUAGCGAUCGACAAGCAUCCCUCCCAUCCACUUUCAAGCUCAACCACAUUGUCUGUGCAUGUGGAAGAUGUAAAUGAUCACUGGCCCAGAUUUCUCAAUGGUCCGUAUGUGGCCAACAUUCCUUUCACAGCGGGGCCAGGUUCAAUAGUCUGUGCUGUAAGUGCAGUGGAUGCUGACACAGGACUUAACUCACAGCUUACCUUUUCAUUAUUCGGUCAUCUCGCUGGUCACUUCUCCAUUAACCCAAGU
Molecule: long non-coding RNA, 413 nt
Organism: Scleropages formosus (Asian bonytongue)
Lineage: Eukaryota; Metazoa; Chordata; Actinopteri; Osteoglossiformes; Osteoglossidae
Exons: 3
Source: RefSeq, a predicted model, not a curated record